UCUGGCCUCAAAUCAGGUAGGACUACCCGCUGAACUUA
RNAcentral lists this ribosomal RNA (38 nucleotides) under Quambalaria cyanescens. RNAcentral's name for it is "partial 28S ribosomal RNA". RNAcentral also lists the same sequence under 1 other name. The record is from RNAcentral. Lineage: Eukaryota; Fungi; Basidiomycota; Exobasidiomycetes; Microstromatales; Quambalariaceae.